GAUGAAGAACGUAGCGAAAUGCGAUACUUGGUGUGAAUUGCAGAAUCCCGUGAACCAUCGAGUCUUUGAACGCAAGUUGCGCCCGAAGCCAUUAGGCCGAGGGCACGCCUGCCUGGGUGUCACACACCGUUACCCUCGCGCCAACGUCCAUCGUUGGCCGCGGCGCGGGGCGUGUGCUGACCUCCCGCGAGCGGGGUCUCGUGGUUGGUUGAAAAUCGAGUUCGCGGUCGAGGGUGCCGUGAUGAAAUGGUGGAUGGGCGACGCCCGAGGCCAAUCACGCGCGACUCUGUCCGGCUCGGGCUCCUGGACCCCUUCGGCGUCUCCGGACGCUCUUUGGCGAGACCUCAGGUCAGGCGGGGCUACCCGCUGAGUUUAAGCAUAUCAAUAAGCGGAGGA
RNAcentral lists this unclassified non-coding RNA (396 nucleotides) under soil metagenome. Its description in RNAcentral is "partial contains 5.8S ribosomal RNA, internal transcribed spacer 2, and large subunit ribosomal RNA". The stretch from base 1 to 122 matches the Rfam family "5.8S ribosomal RNA", at positions 35 to 154 of the family's 154-position model. The record is from RNAcentral.